AUACGGAGGGUGCAAGCGUUAUUCGGAAUCACUGGGCGUAAAGGACGCAUAGGCGGGUUGGCAAGUCAGAUGUGAAAUCCUACAGCUUAACUGUAGAACUGCAUUUGAAACUGCUAACCUAGAGUAUGAGAGGGGGAGAUGGAAUUAGUGGUGUAGGGGUAAAAUCCGUAGAUAUCACUAGGAAUACCGAAAGCGAAGGCGAUCUCCUGGAACAUAACUGACGCUAAGGCGUGAAAGCGUGGGGAGCAAACAGAAUUAGAAACCCUAGUAGUCC
RNAcentral lists this ribosomal RNA (274 nucleotides) under uncultured bacterium. RNAcentral describes it as "partial 16S ribosomal RNA". It matches the Rfam family "Bacterial small subunit ribosomal RNA", at positions 523 to 796 of the family's 1533-position model. The record is from RNAcentral.